This is a small nucleolar RNA of Rattus norvegicus (Norway rat), 138 nucleotides long. Ensembl annotates it as small nucleolar RNA SNORA48. The record is from Ensembl. Lineage: Eukaryota; Metazoa; Chordata; Mammalia; Rodentia; Muridae.
UGGCAGUGGACAAGGAGACACCAUGUUGGUGGUGGUGUUCUUAUAUCAGUCACAGACAGAGCAGAUGGCAGGCCUUGCUUCAUCCUAGCUUGAUGCCUGGCUUGGUGGCCAAAGCUGUUUCAUGCCUAGGGCACAUGA